This 739-nucleotide long non-coding RNA is filed under the name Homo sapiens (human). RNAcentral describes it as "HSALNT0245891". The record is from RNAcentral. Lineage: Eukaryota; Metazoa; Chordata; Mammalia; Primates; Hominidae.
GGCACGUGCCUGUAUUCCCAGCUACUCAGGAGGCUGAGGCGGGUGGAUCACUUCAACCCAGGAGUUUGAGACCAGCCUAGGCAAUAUGGAAAAGCCCUUUCUCUACCAAAAACAAAAAUUGGUUGGGCAUGGUGGCAUGCACCUAUAGUCCCAGCUACUCAGGAGGCUGAGGUGGGAGGAUGGUUUGAGCCCAGGAGGUGGAGGUUGCAGUGAGCUGAGAUCGCGUCACUGCACUACAGCCUGGGUGACAGCUAAACCCUGUCUAAAAAAAAAGAAAAAAGAAAAAAUAUCUCCUCUGAUAAAUACCAGUGGAUUGAUCCUUGAAGCGACAGUGGUGUGGACAGUAGUGUCCAUCAUUGUAUGUGCAGGGCCGUUCAAGGAUGCUGGAUCAGGUGUCCCGGGCCAGGCCAGGAUCUGCCGUUUCAUCAGGUCACAGUAGCCUGCACAUUGGCGUCAACAGGCUUGGCUCAGUUAGGAUGGGAAACGCGACUGGUUUUCCCUCUACUGUCUCCGUGGCUGCGUGUGGAGCGUCCGCUAAUGCGUGUGGGGGGAAGAAUGUUGCAGGGACCUGCGUGCACUGGGUCACAGCUGGGGUGGCACCUUCUCCAUGUUGCAGGCGGGUGUCUGUGCGCUCCUGCUCCCCUUCCAAUUUGCUCAGAGCUGACUGCUGCCUCUCACUUCCAAGCAGCUGCUCUCCCAUGGGUGAUGGUGAUCCAGAGGCCAUGGAAGAGUCUCCAAG